Long non-coding RNA from Oreochromis aureus, 323 nucleotides. RefSeq lists it as uncharacterized. The record is from RefSeq and is a predicted model, not a curated record. The transcript has 2 exons. Lineage: Eukaryota; Metazoa; Chordata; Actinopteri; Cichliformes; Cichlidae.
AGGAGAGUUAGGGUGUCUGCAGCUGAGCUGGAAGAGUUUACAAAGCAGGCAGAGUGUCUGAACCUACAACCACCUGCUAUCAUGGACUCGGAAAAGGGUUUGUGCCCAGAUCCAACUCUUGCCCCAGAAAGAAAUUUCACUGAUGGAACCACAGACACCAUAAGCUCUGAUGAGCUCAGCCUUCUAGAAGAACUUCUCAGUAGUGAAAGUGGAGUGAAGACCCUUUUCGAUAUGAUCCAAAGAAGUAUGGCUUCAUCCAAGCAAGACUGACGGCUAUGCCUGUGAAGAAUAUUGCCACUAAAAAUAAAGAUGCUAAAAAAGAA